CCUUCUGACUGCUGCUGUGGGCGAGGCCCCUUCCUCCUCAGAGAGCCUGGGGACUAGAAAAUGGCACACUGUCUGUGGCUCAACUUGGAGUCAUCAAAGAGGGGAGCUGGCACAAUGUUUCCUGUCCUCAAAGAGCUACCCAGCGCUCCCAGGAGGCCACGAGGCCUAGGCUCAGCCUGGCUCCUACCAGCCCUCCAGCCCACCGCAGACAACCCUGGCCAACGUGCUCUGGCUGCACCUGGCUACUGCAGGUCCUCGGGCCUCUGUCCAGUCCCACUGAAGGGCCUGGCCAGGUGCUGCCCCCUUCCUGUUCCCCUCCCGACCUGACCUGCCCUUUAAGGCCUCAACUAAAUGUCAGCUCCUCAGAGGGUCAAUAACAAGGACCUCCCUGUUCUCCCAGGCCUCGGCAUUUCUUCCUAGUACUCGGCAUCACUGGGGCUGCAUUAUCUUGUCCUCUAUUUACCUAUGCUUCGUUGCCAUCAUCCAAUGCACUCACACUCCGAUACACCUCCAGCAGGGCAGGGAUUGCGUCCACCUGGUCUUAUUCAUUGUUGCAUCUGCAAUGACUUUUGGGAACUCUGGCACACAGUAAGUGCUCAGCUAAGACUUACUGAACGAACAUAAUAGUUAUUGAUGAAUGACCUCACAGAUCAAUGGAGAGAAAAACGGGUAGGCGUCAGGGCCAGAUCAGGGGCUGGCUGCCAGGUGGCAUGGGAGGCCUGGGGCAGGGACCUACAGGGAGGGGCUCAGAGGAUAUCCUCAUGCCUCUCUCUGUCUAUCCCAGAGGGCCGAGGUUAGCAGAGGCCAACGUGUGGUUUACCCGGCUGGCUGUGCUCUUGGCUGGUGAGGUGGCAAUGAAAUUUACUAUAUGAAGACAUAGGCAGCCACAGUGGGCUUUAUCACGGGCACACAGCCUGCACAGGCAGCAGAGGAACACGCUGUGAAGUCAUGCCACCCACACAAACCAGGAGGAAACAGAAAACAGGGUGUCCUUUCUGCCACAGGUAUUAAUAUUACUGAAGAAACGAAGCCACAAGAUGUUGGCCCUCAUGGUGUGCGAUUCCAAACAUUAAAACCCAGAAACUGUACCAGAUGGGGCCUCAGUGUCCAUACACAAAUCAGAAACUACUUGACUGGCCCGCCUGAGCUCUCAGAGCUUCUGGACCCAUCACUUACAAAAUGCAGUGCUGCUCAACCAGGGGUGACGUGGGCUCCCUCCACCAGGGAACAUCUAGAGGCAUUUUUGGUUGUCAAGAGGGUCAGGGUGAGGAAUGCUGGCAUCUGGUAAUGAGCAGACGGGAAGGCAACUAAGCACUCUGUAUUGUCCGGCAUAGCCCUUAGCAGCGCAGAAUUAUCCAGCCCAAGAUGUCAAUCAUGUUGAGGUUGAGAAACCUGGAAAUAGUGCGCAUAAAAGUUCCUUCUAAAAUGUUGGGGGAAAUGUAUUAUUAAUAAACAUUAACAUUUCUAAAACUCAACAUGUCCCCAGACCCUGAGCUGAAAAACCCUGACUGUCCACACACGAGCAGAGGGGCUGCAGCCCAUGUGCCGGCUCAGAGCUCAGGCUCCGGGGUACUCUCUCCUGCCCCUGUCCCAACUAGGCUGUACAAAGUCCAGCUCUGCUCCUGGUUGGUAAGAGGGCCGCGUGUCUUUCGGUACCAGGCUCGCUUUCCACAGGGGAAAGUAACUGUAACCAGCUAACGGCACAGAAUGGUCCCACCCUCCCCAAAGCAGAAAGGGCGAUUCCAGGCCUGGCCUUGGUGCACAAUGGGCAGAUUGUGUGGCUGUCUCCACCACAGGAGGAGUCGCCUAUGACCCAGGGCAGCAGCCAUCGAGAGGCUGACCUCACAGCCACCCCAGAACAGGACAUGAUCUGUUUCUCUGGGACCAGAGCCACCAGAUGCGUUCAGCUCAGCCUCCCUGGUAUCUGUUGGCCGGCGGUCUCAUCGUCACGCGGCACCAGCUGUGUCAGAGGCUAUCCCAGACGACGACCUCCUGCCAAGGUGGCCCUGAAUCACCAACCCUCAUGCUACCCAUGGAGCCAUCAGCUGUCACCAAAGCCCCUCCAAGCUAUGAUCCUGGUCUUGCCACUUUCUACCUGACACUGGACAAGUGACUUAACUUCCCUGGGGCACAGUUGUCUCCCCUGUAAAAAUGAGGAAAUAAUUCCAUUAUCUCAGGGACUGAGAUGAGGACCAAAGAGGUAAGAGACGAGAACGGCCCACAGCAGAGUGGGCCACGUGCUACAUGCUUGGCAAAUGGGGGGCCUCCCAUGGCUCCCUGGUGACAACACACACCCCUCACUGGGACCCACGGUUCUUACUCUGACCCCACUGGUCAGAAGGCACAAAGGCAAAGAUGACAAACCCACUUAGAUUCUAGGGUGCCAUUUAACCUCUGAUAGACUUAGAUGUUAUCUUCCAAGUCGGAUUGGAAGGCCUAGAAUAACAAACACCUUUGUUUCCUCUACUUCCUCUCCAUCCCUGUGCUGGAGACUGCUCAAUAAACAACAGGGGCCCACAGGUUUGAUUCAAUGCAGCUGUGAAAUCACGUUUUGGGUAACCGUGAGCCACGGCCUUGGGCAGUCCCUUGGAGGCGGACCCAACGGCUCUCAAGGUCUUCUGUGCCAUCCUGCACCUUCCCUAUGCGGUAGGCAAGGAGACUGAGGCCCACAUGGGCUGGCAGGUGAAGGGUGGAGCCAGAAACAGCACUCGAGUCACUCUGACCCCACCUGGCCCUGCCUUUUCAGCAUUUCCGCUGCCCUAGCACAGAAUGCAUCUCCCGCUUGGGGACACAUUCAUAAUCACUGCCUCAUUGACUCCAAUUAGGACUGAGAGCUCUCAAGUCAGCUGGGGCCACAGGUAAGGCUGACAGAGAAGUUCUACUAUCACUGUAAUAACAAUAUUGACAUAAGCCACGGUGACGGACUGUUCACUAAGUGCCAGGCCUGUACUGAGUCGCUUGCACAUGUCAUCACACCGCAGACACAGUCAACAUGGCCAACCCUUACACACACAUGCAGCACUCACACCACGCCAGUCACUACGGGCAUCACAGGGAAAGCACAGGAAGAAGCAGCGUGGCCAAGUGUGCAUUCUCGUCCUGCAUCCUUCAGGGCAGGAGCUCCCUUCCCAGAACCACUUUAGAUCGUUACACACUGAGAGGAGCCAGGAGGACCUGAAUAUGGCCUGUGGAGAAGGCCCUUCAAGCUGAGCCCCUGCUGGGACAAAGCAUCUUGCCUCAGUUUCCCUGCUCACAAGAAAAUGGGAGGACCCCAGCCUUGGGAGCUGCUUCCCUGCCUCUGACUGUAGCAUCCCUGUCCCUCUCACUCCCCAGACUACACUCAUGCCUCCUUGUUAAUGUCUGGAGAAUAAAAAUUAAAACAA
Cebus imitator (Panamanian white-faced capuchin) is the source of this 3383-nucleotide long non-coding RNA. RefSeq lists it as uncharacterized. The record is from RefSeq and is a predicted model, not a curated record. Lineage: Eukaryota; Metazoa; Chordata; Mammalia; Primates; Cebidae. The transcript is spliced from 3 exons.